Molecule: ribosomal RNA, 480 nt
Filed under: uncultured bacterium
Lineage: Bacteria
Description: partial 16S ribosomal RNA
Rfam family: Bacterial small subunit ribosomal RNA
Source: RNAcentral
AUUGAACGCUGGCGGCAUGCCUUACACAUGCAAGUCGAACGGUAACAGGUCUUCGGAUGCUGACGAGUGGCGAACGGGUGAGUAAUACAUCGGAACGUGCCCGAUCGUGGGGGAUAACGAAGCGAAAGCUUUGCUAAUACCGCAUAAGAUCUACGGAUGAAAGCAGGGGACCGCAAGGCCUUGCGCGAACGGAGCGGCCGAUGGCAGAUUAGGUAGUUGGUGGGAUAAAAGCUUACCAAGCCGACGAUCUGUAGCUGGUCUGAGAGGACGACCAGCCACACUGGGACUGAGACACGGCCCAGACUCCUACGGGAGGCAGCAGUGGGGAAUUUUGGACAAUGGGCGAAAGCCUGAUCCAGCCAUGCCGCGUGCAGGAUGAAGGCCUUCGGGUUGUAAACUGCUUUUGUACGGAACGAAAAGACUCUGGUUAAUACCUGGGGUCCAUGACGGUACCGUAAGAAUAAGCACCGGCUAACUACG